AACACGUGGGUAACUGCCCAUCAGAAGGGGAUAACACUUGGAAACAGGUGCUAAUACCGUAUAACAAUCGAAACCGCAUGGUUUCGUUUUGAAAGGCGCUUUACGGUGCCGCUGAUGGAUGGACCCGCGGUGCAUUAGCUAGUUGGUGAGGUAACGGCUCACCAAGGCCACGAUGCAUAGCCGACCUGAGAGGGUGAUCGGCCACAUUGGGACUGAGACACGGCCCAAACUCCUACGGGAGGCAGCAGUAGGGAAUCUUCGGCAAUGGACGAAAGUCUGACCGAGCAACGCCGCGUGAGUGAAGAAGGUUUUCGGAUCGUAAAACUCUGUUGUUAGAGAAGAACAAGGGUGAGAGUAACUGUUCACCCCUUGACGGUAUCUAACCAGAAAGCCACGGCUAACUACGUGCCAGCAGCCGCGGUAAUACGUAGGUGGCAAGCUUGUCCGGAUUUAUUGGGCGUAAAGCGAGCGCAGGCGGUUUCUUAAGUCUGAUGUGAAAGCCCCCGGCUCAACCGGGGAGGGUCAUUGGAAACUGGGAGACUUGAGUGCAGAAGAGGAGAGUGGAAUUCCAUGUGUAGCGGUGAAAUGCGUAGAUAUAUGGAGGAACACCAGUGGCGAAGGCGGCUCUCUGGUCUGUAACUGACGCUGAGGCUCGAAAGCGUGGGGAGCAAACAGGAUUAGAUACCCUGGUAGUCCACGCCGUAAACGAUGAGUGCUAAGUGUUGGAGGGUUUCCGCCCUUCAGUGCUGCAGCUAACGCAUUAAGCACUCCGCCUGGGGAGUACGACCGCAAGGUUGAAACUCAAAGGAAUUGACGGGGGCCCGCACAAGCGGUGGAGCAUGUGGUUUAAUUCGAAGCAACGCGAAGAACCUUACCAGGUCUUGACAUCCUUUGACCACUCUAGAGAUAGAGCUUCCCCUUCGGGGGCAAAGUGACAGGUGGUGCAUGGUUGUCGUCAGCUCGUGUCGUGAGAUGUUGGGUUAAGUCCCGCAACGAGCGCAACCCUUAUUGUUAGUUGCCAUCAUUUAGUUGGGCACUCUAGCAAGACUGCCGGUGACAAACCGGAGGAAGGUGGGGAUGACGUCAAAUCAUCAUGCCCCUUAUGACCUGGGCUACACACGUGCUACAAUGGGAAGUACAACGAGUCGCGAAGUCGCGAGGCUAAGCUAAUCUCUUAAAGCUUCUCUCAGUUCGGAUUGUAGGCUGCAACUCGCCUACAUGAAGCCGGAAUCGC
This 1234-nucleotide ribosomal RNA is filed under the name Enterococcus mundtii. RNAcentral's name for it is "bacterial SSU rRNA". It matches the Rfam family "Bacterial small subunit ribosomal RNA", at positions 112 to 1335 of the family's 1533-position model. The record is from RNAcentral. Lineage: Bacteria; Bacillati; Bacillota; Bacilli; Lactobacillales; Enterococcaceae.